CUGGCUCAGGAUGAACGCUGGCGGUUUGCGUAACACAUGCAAGUCGAACGGGACUCUUCGGAGUUAGUGGCGGACGGGUGAGUAACGCGUGAGAAUCUGCCUCCAGGACGGGGGACAACAGAGGGAAAACUUCUGCUAAUCCCGGAUGAGCCGAAAAGGUCAAAGAUUUAUCGCCUGGAGAUGAGCUCGCGUCUGAUUAGCUAGUUGGUGAGGUAAAAGCUUACCAAGGCAACGAUCAGUAGCUGGUCUGAGAGGAUGAUCAGCCACACUGGGACUGAGACACGGCCCAGACUCCUACGGGAGGCAGCAGUGGGGAAUUUUCCGCAAUGGGCGCAAGCCUGACGGAGCAAGACCGCGUGGGGGAGGAAAGCCUUUGGGUUGUAAACCCCUUUUCUCAGGGAAGAAGAAAGUGACGGUACCUGAGGAAUCAGCCUCGGCUAACUCCGUGCCAGCAGCCGCGGUAAUACGGAGGAGGCAAGCGUUAUCCGGAAUGAUUGGGCGUAAAGCGUUCGUAGGUGGCGAUUCAAGUCUGCUGUCAAAGACAGUAGCUCAACUACUGAAAGGCAGUGGAAACUGAAUGGCUAGAGUGCGGUAGGGGCAGAGGGAAUUCCCGGUGUAGCGGUGAAAUGCGUAGAGAUCGGGAAGAACACCGGUGGCGAAAGCGCUCUGCUGGGCCGCAACUGACAC
This 687-nucleotide ribosomal RNA is filed under the name Lyngbya sp. SCyano73. RNAcentral's name for it is "bacterial SSU rRNA". It matches the Rfam family "Bacterial small subunit ribosomal RNA", at positions 19 to 746 of the family's 1533-position model. Lineage: Bacteria; Bacillati; Cyanobacteriota; Cyanophyceae; Oscillatoriales; Microcoleaceae. The record is from RNAcentral.